RNAcentral lists this unclassified non-coding RNA (251 nucleotides) under uncultured fungus. RNAcentral describes it as "partial contains 5.8S ribosomal RNA, internal transcribed spacer 2, and large subunit ribosomal RNA". Lineage: Eukaryota; Fungi. The record is from RNAcentral.
AACGCACAUUGCGCCCCUCGGUAUUCCGUGGGGCACGCCUGUUCGAGCGUCAUUUACACCCUCAAGCACAGCUUGGUGUUGGGCGUCUGUCCCGCUCUCGUAGCGCGGACUCGCCUCAAAGUCAUUGGCGGCGGUCGUGCCGGCUCCUCGCGCAGCACAUUUGCGCUUCUCGGAGUCCCGGCGGAUCAGCAUCCAGCAAGCAACUUCUAUGACUUGACCUCGGAUCAGGUGAGGAUACCCGCUGAACUUAA